Dalotia coriaria is the source of this 553-nucleotide long non-coding RNA. RefSeq lists it as uncharacterized. The record is from RefSeq and is a predicted model, not a curated record. The transcript is spliced from 3 exons. Lineage: Eukaryota; Metazoa; Arthropoda; Insecta; Coleoptera; Staphylinidae.
ACGGAACGAACGAGCACGUCGGGGGAUCUGCACUCCCUUUUCUCGCCUGUUUCUAGCCCUCGCUCUCAACUCAGUACCUUUCAAUCUCCGUGUGUGUGCGACAACAAUUCACGAAAACUUUGUGAAAACUAUAUUAUUGCAAUAAAACUUCAUACAAAAAACAAGCAAAUUUUGAAAUCCGGCGAGAAAAACUUGCGCAAAAGUUGCAAACUCACGUAAGGUUAGCUAUCGCGUGAUACCGGCAAGCAAACCGCGCUCAACCACUCUCACCCCGUGCGCGCGCGUGUGUUGGAGAGCGAGCCGGCAAGAUUUCUUCCGAGUGCGGCAAGUACUGCGGCCCGGCGACCGCAAACGGCCCCACCAUUUCGUUCAGCAGCUUCCGGAACUCCUUCACCAGCAAUGUCAAUUACCUGAAGCGCCGGUUCAGCUCCGGGGAUCUCUCCUCGGAGUGCGACGGCGAUGAGUCGCAGGUGGAUCCGUACACGAAGGCGCCGCCGGUGACCUCUCAACCUCAGGCACCUUCAUCCUCAUCGUCUGUGCAGUCAAUGGCGCC